UGUAAGCGUAUACCAAAGUUGUUGCAGUUAAAACGCUCGUAGUCGGAAUUUGGCAGUUCCGGAUGUGUGCACGUCGUGUGCGCACUUCGCGGGGAUUGCUUUUGUGGUCUUGCGUAGGAUGAGGCACUUUUAUUAGUGAACGUCCUCACGCAACCACUUUUUACUGUGAGAAAAUCAGAGUGCUCAAAGCAGGCAUUUGCCGUGAAUGUAUUAGCAUGGAAUAAUAGAAUAGGACUUGGUUCUAUUUUGUUGGUUUGUUGGGACUGAGUAAUGAUUAAGAGGGACAGUUGGGGGCAUUUGUAUUUCGGUGCUAGAGGUGAAAUUCUUAGAUUACCGAAAGACAAAUUGCUGCGAAAGCGUCUGCCAAGGAUGUUUUCAUUGA
This 382-nucleotide ribosomal RNA is filed under the name uncultured eukaryote. RNAcentral describes it as "partial 18S ribosomal RNA". It matches the Rfam family "Eukaryotic small subunit ribosomal RNA", at positions 592 to 976 of the family's 1831-position model. The record is from RNAcentral.